This 252-nucleotide ribosomal RNA is filed under the name uncultured Bacteroidales bacterium. RNAcentral's name for it is "partial 16S ribosomal RNA". It matches the Rfam family "Bacterial small subunit ribosomal RNA", at positions 524 to 776 of the family's 1533-position model. The record is from RNAcentral. Lineage: Bacteria; Pseudomonadati; Bacteroidota; Bacteroidia; Bacteroidales.
UACGGAGGAUGCGAGCGUUAUCCGGAUUUAUUGGGUUUAAAGGGUGCGUAGGCGGAUUUGUAAGUCAGCGGUAAAAAUGCGGUGCUCAACGCCGUAUCGCCGUUGAAACUGCGGGUCUUGAGUGAGCGAGAAGUAUGCGGAGCGCGUGGUGUAGCGGUGAAAUGCAUAGAUAUCACGCAGAACCCCGAUUGCGAAGGCAGCAUACCGGCGCCCGACUGACGCUGAAGCACGAAAGCGUGGGGAGCAAAUAGG